AGCAAAAAUAUUAAUAAAUUAUUGUAACACACAUUAUAUGCUAAUUUUGAAAUUAAUUUUCUUUGGCAUUUGGCAAUAAACUAAGGGCCUGUUCUCUCCACCUUAUUUUCAGUUUAGUUCGAUUCAGUUCAAUUCAACUUUGGACAAUACUUUUACUCUCACAUAUCACUAUUCAUUUCAGUUCAGUUCAAUUCAGUUUAGUUCAGUUCAAUUCAGAUCAGUUGAACUGUUUUAAGCCGAAAAGAACAUGCCCUAAGUUGUUCACUCCAACACAUUAAGCAAAAACGAUUUGCAUGUUGCACAAACUUUUCUUUUUUUUCUCUAUUUUCUAUUGACAACUAUACUCACCGCUAUACCAAAUGAAUUUUAUUUGUAAGAUUUUGACUUCAAGUUUUGUUUUCAUUAGAAAAUCCAUUCCCCUAUUUCACCCCUUUUCUAUUUCUCUAUCUGUCUAGCUUUUCGUUCUCUAUAACUUUCUAGAGUCUUCUUCUUAUACCUUUCUCAAAUGAAGGUACCCAAAUCAGAUACAAACCAAAACAUUGACAAAAUUGCUAUGGGAAUUAUUUCUUCUUGCCGACAUGAAAGAAAAUUGGCAAAAUCUCAUGAAAUUUUUCAUCACUCGUCAGUGCCUUAUACUGGUGAGGGAGAAUGUGGAAGGUGGCCAAUGGCUAUGCCUAUACUCAUUCUUCAUUUAUUUUACAGGAUGAUGCAACAGUGUAGGUAAACGAGCUCAGAAAUUCAACUAGACUAUGACUUGUUGAAUGUAUAUUACUUUUUCCGUUUUUUCUAAUUGUUAUAUUUUGUUAUUUUCGGAUAUUUUAUUUUAUCUGAUAUAUUUGUUAAAUAUUUUUAUUUUUAGUAUGGGGUAUUCAGAUAUCAUUUAUCUUUGUAUUUUUAUUUUCGUCUUCAUCACACAAAAAAACUAUUACUUUAUGCUUUA
Beta vulgaris subsp. vulgaris (sugar beet) is the source of this 940-nucleotide long non-coding RNA. RefSeq lists it as uncharacterized. NCBI's taxonomy places the organism in Eukaryota, Viridiplantae, Streptophyta, Magnoliopsida, Caryophyllales, Amaranthaceae. The record is from RefSeq and is a predicted model, not a curated record. The transcript is spliced from 2 exons.